Long non-coding RNA from Lutra lutra (Eurasian river otter), 482 nucleotides. RefSeq lists it as uncharacterized. The transcript is spliced from 6 exons. The record is from RefSeq and is a predicted model, not a curated record. Lineage: Eukaryota; Metazoa; Chordata; Mammalia; Carnivora; Mustelidae.
CUCUUAGUUUUGAUUUCACAGGAAGAAGCAGGGGAAAAAUGGCUCACCAAUGAAGAGGAGUGAGACCCACGUGCUAUGAACAAAUGAGGCCAACCUGCUAGAGAAGCAAACAACUCAUUGGGUGCCAGUCCUAGGAGAACUCAGCUACGUUGACAUAUUCAUGGGUUCAUACUGAGCCUUUGCCACACCCAAGAGGUGCUGGACCUCCUGUUUUCAAGCUUCACCCCUUGAAGGCCUUUAGUUCAGGGAGGUUCCCCUGUUACUGAUGGCAUUGGAGGUGCAUGACAACCCAGGGAGUGAGAAGACUCAUGUUGGAGGGACUCUGGACUCCUGCAAGACCACAUGAAGGAGCUCAGUCUCCAAUUUGAAGAUACACUCAGCACUGUCACAUGGGGAAAUCUAUGGUGACAUGCUACCAUAAUUUGGGGAGUAAUUUGGUAAUUCAUCAUAACAUAAUAUACCUACAAAAUGUUGAAAUCAGC